This 64-nucleotide transfer RNA is filed under the name Gralliclava horrens. Its description in RNAcentral is "tRNA-Asp". It matches the Rfam family "tRNA". Rfam says of the family: Transfer RNA (tRNA) molecules are approximately 80 nucleotides in length. Their secondary structure includes four short double-helical elements and three loops (D, anti-codon, and T loops). Lineage: Eukaryota; Metazoa; Arthropoda; Insecta; Hemiptera; Coreidae. The record is from RNAcentral.
AAAAGAUUAGUUUAAACUAAAACAUUAGCUUGUCAAGCUAAAAAUAUUUAUUUAAUAUCUUUUA